UACGUAGGGGGCAAGCGUUGUCCGGAUUCAUUGGGCGUAAAGAGCUCGUAGGCGGCUUGGCAAGUCGGGUGUGAAAACUCCAGGCUCAACCUGGAGACGCCACCCGAUACUGCUAUGGCUUGAGUCCGGUAGGGGACCACGGAAUUCCUGGUGUAGCGGUGAAAUGCGCAGAUAUCAGGAGGAACACCGGUGGCGAAGGCGCCACUCUGGGCCGAAACUGACGCUGAGGAGCGAAAGCGUGGGUAGCAAACAGG
RNAcentral lists this ribosomal RNA (254 nucleotides) under uncultured bacterium. RNAcentral's name for it is "partial 16S ribosomal RNA". It matches the Rfam family "Bacterial small subunit ribosomal RNA", at positions 524 to 776 of the family's 1533-position model. The record is from RNAcentral.